This is a long non-coding RNA of Leguminivora glycinivorella, 839 nucleotides long. RefSeq lists it as uncharacterized. The transcript is spliced from 3 exons. The record is from RefSeq and is a predicted model, not a curated record. Lineage: Eukaryota; Metazoa; Arthropoda; Insecta; Lepidoptera; Tortricidae.
CACAUAAAGGAAAUUUCAAUUCCCUUUUUCUUAUAAAUAGUAAUCAUUUCUUUUAUCUUAAAAAUUAUAUACAAACUUUUGAAAUGUAUCUUAAAACUUUCUAAAGCUUUAAUUAAACUUAAAGAGUCGGUGAGAAUAAGAAACUUUUGAUGACUAUUUACAUGACUUAUAAUUUUAAUGGCCUCUAAGACUGCAUAUGCCUCUGCAGAGAAAAUACUAAAGUUACCGUUCAGAACAAAGCUUUGGACAAAUUUGGUUUGAGGAUUAUAAACAGCACUACGUACAUGCAAAAUGCGAGACAGUUCGGGAGGAUGGCCAUUGAGAAGAUCAGCACCUGUUGUUAGAGGCUCCCUACAGUUUAAUUCGCAAGGUCAGAUAUGAGAGAAAGGAAGCUGUCUGCGCAGCUCCUACCCUUCCUGAAGCCAUAUUGCACAUGAGGAAUGAUGCCGUUAGAUUCAACAAACCAGUCAAGUCGACACUUAAUAAUAUUUUCAAAUAUUUUGCCUAUACAUGAAGACAAGGAUAUAGGUCGAUAUGAAUCGGCGUUAUUUGGAGGUUUACCAGGCUUAAGGACUGGGAUCACACAUUGCGUUUUCCAAGACUGCGGAAUUAUUUGUUUCGACCAUAAUGCAUUGAAGAUGGUUAAUAAAAUAUCUAGUACUGUUGAAUCCAAAUUUUUUAUUAAUAUAUAGGGAAAAUCGUCUAAGCCAGGGCUAGUAUUUUUACGUGAUAAAAGACUUGAUAAGAAUUCAUUUCUUGAAAAUGGUUGCAAAAGAAAUUUUGAAUUUUCGUUGUUAUUAUUGAGAUUGAAGUAAUCAUCAAGAUUAUCUAACAAAACU